GGGGGUUCUUGGGUGACCCACCCCAGAAUCAGGCUUCCUCCUCUCUGGUUCCAGGUGCAUCACCCAAGAACUGCA
Molecule: non-coding RNA, 75 nt
Organism: Myotis davidii
Lineage: Eukaryota; Metazoa; Chordata; Mammalia; Chiroptera; Vespertilionidae
Source: Rfam